Molecule: ribosomal RNA, 497 nt
Filed under: uncultured bacterium
Lineage: Bacteria
Description: partial 16S ribosomal RNA
Rfam family: Bacterial small subunit ribosomal RNA
Source: RNAcentral
GAUGAACGCUGGCGGCGUGCCUAAUACAUGCAAGUCGAGCGAACAGACGAGGAGCUUGCUCCUCUGACGUUAGCGGCGGACGGGUGAGUAACACGUGGAUAACCUACCUAUAAGACUGGGAUAACUUCGGGAAACCGGAGCUAAUACCAGAUAAUAUAUUGAACCGCAUGGUUCAAUAGUGAAAGACGGUUUUGCUGUCACUUAUAGAUGGAUCCGCGCCGCAUUAGCUAGUUGGUAAGGUAACGGCUUACCAAGGCAACGAUGCGUAGCCGACCUGAGAGGGUGAUCGGCCACACGGGAACUGAGACACGGUCCAGACUCCUACGGGAGGCAGCAGUAGGGAAUCUUCCGCAAUGGGCGAAAGCCUGACGGAGCAACGCCGCGUGAGUGAUGAAGGUCUUCGGAUCGUAAAACUCUGUUAUUAGGGAAGAACAAAUGUGUAAGUAACUAUGCACGUCUUGACGGUACCUAAUCAGAAAGCCACGGCUAACUACGUG